This 1372-nucleotide ribosomal RNA is filed under the name uncultured bacterium. Its description in RNAcentral is "16S ribosomal RNA". It matches the Rfam family "Bacterial small subunit ribosomal RNA". The record is from RNAcentral.
AGAGUUUGAUCCUGGCUCAGGAUGAACGCUGGCGGCGUGCUUAACACAUGCAAGUCGAGCGAUGAAGUUUCCUUCGGGAAACGGAUUAGCGGCGGACGGGUGAGUAACACGUGGGUAACCUGCCUCAUAGAGUGGAAUAGCCUUCCGAAAGGAAGAUUAAUACCGCAUAACGUUGAAAGAUGGCAUCAUCAUUCAACCAAAGGAGUAAUCCGCUAUGAGAUGGACCCGCGGCGCAUUAGCUAGUUGGUGGGGUAACGGCCUACCAAGGCGACGAUGCGUAGCCGACCUGAGAGGGUGAUCGGCCACAUUGGGACUGAGACACGGCCCAGACUCCUACGGGAGGCAGCAGUGGGGAAUAUUGCACAAUGGGGGAAACCCUGAUGCAGCAACGCCGCGUGAGUGAUGAAGGUUUUCGGAUCGUAAAGCUCUGUCUUUGGGGAAGAUAAUGACGGUACCCAAGGAGGAAGCCACGGCUAACUACGUGCCAGCAGCCGCGGUAAUACGUAGGUGGCGAGCGUUAUCCGGAUUUACAGGGCGUAAAGGGAGCGUAGGCGGAUGAUUAAGUGGGAUGUGAAAUACCCGGGCUCAACUUGGGUGCUGCAUUCCAAACUGGUUAUCUAGAGUGCAGGAGAGGAGAGUGGAAUUCCUAGUGUAGCGGUGAAAUGCGUAGAGAUUAGGAAGAACACCAGUGGCGAAGGCGACUCUCUGGACUGUAACUGACGCUGAGGCUCGAAAGCGUGGGGAGCAAACAGGAUUAGAUACCCUGGUAGUCCACGCCAUAAACGAUGAAUACUAGGUGUGGGGGUUUCAACACCUCCGUGCCGCCGCUAACGCAUUAAGUAUUCCGCCUGGGGAGUACGGUCGCAAGAUUAAAACUCAAAGGAAUUGACGGGGACCCGCACAAGUAGCGGAGCAUGUGGUUUAAUUCGAAGCAACGCGAAGAACCUUACCUACACUUGACAUCCCUUGCAUUACUCUUAAUCGAGGAAAUCCCUUCGGGGACAAGGUGACAGGUGGUGCAUGGUUGUCGUCAGCUCGUGUCGUGAGAUGUUGGGUUAAGUCCCGCAACGAGCGCAACCCUUGUCGUUAGUUACUACCAUUAAGUUGAGGACUCUAGCGAGACUGCCUGGGUUAACCAGGAGGAAGGUGGGGAUGACGUCAAAUCAUCAUGCCCCUUAUGUGUAGGGCUACACACGUGCUACAAUGGCUGGUACAGAGAGAUGCAAUACCGCGAGGUGGAGCCAAACUUUAAAACCAGUCUCAGUUCGGAUUGUAGGCUGAAACUCGCCUACAUGAAGCUGGAGUUACUAGUAAUCGCGAAUCAGAAUGUCGCGGUGAAUACGUUCCCGGGUCUUGCACACACCGCCCGUCA